Molecule: non-coding RNA, 58 nt
Filed under: Tripos fusus
Lineage: Eukaryota; Dinophyceae; Gonyaulacales; Ceratiaceae
Source: RNAcentral
GAUGCAGCAAUUGAAGGUCUUCCAUCAUUGGGCCAAAUUGUUCAUCCCCAUAGUGAUU